This 332-nucleotide unclassified non-coding RNA is filed under the name soil metagenome. RNAcentral describes it as "partial contains 5.8S ribosomal RNA, internal transcribed spacer 2, and large subunit ribosomal RNA". The stretch from base 1 to 120 matches the Rfam family "5.8S ribosomal RNA", at positions 35 to 154 of the family's 154-position model. The record is from RNAcentral.
GAUGAAGAACGCAGCGAAAUGCGAUAAGUAGUGUGAAUUGCAGAAUUCAGUGAAUCAUCGAAUCUUUGAACGCACAUUGCGCCCUUUGGUAUUCCUUAGGGCAUGCCUGUUCGAGCGUCAUUUAAACCUUCGAGCUAAGCUUGGUGUUGGGUGACUGUCCGCUUCACUGCGGACUCGCCUCAAAAUUAUUGGCGGCCGGUACAUUGGCUUCGAGCGCAGCAGAAACGCGAACUCGGGCCCGUCGUAUUGGCUCCCAGAAGCUAUCUUCACAAUUUUGACCUCGGAUCAGGUAGGGAUACCCGCUGAACUUAAGCAUAUCAAUAAGCGGAGGA